UACAGAGGGUGCGAGCGUUGAUCGGAAUUACUGGGCGUAAAGCGCACGAAGGUGGCGACGUAAGUCGGGUGUGAAAGCCCCGGGCUCAACCUGGGAAUUGCAUUUGAUACUGCAUGUCUGGAGUACGGGAGAGGUGAGCGGAAUUCCCCGUGUAGAGGUGAAAUUCGUAGAUAUUGGGAGGAACAUCAGUGGCGAAGGCGGCUCCCGGGCCCGGUACUGACGCUCAUGUGCGAAAGCGUGGGGAGCAAACAGG
This 253-nucleotide ribosomal RNA is filed under the name uncultured bacterium. RNAcentral describes it as "partial 16S ribosomal RNA". It matches the Rfam family "Bacterial small subunit ribosomal RNA", at positions 524 to 776 of the family's 1533-position model. The record is from RNAcentral.